ACGAUUCCAUGCCGAUACUCGGAGUUUGAAAGGGUCCAAACCAGAAUUGCAGCAGGGUCGGGUGGACCUAAGCUAGCGUCGAAACGCAACCAUAAUUGGGGACUUUUAUGAGAUGAUGACGAUAAUGUUCAGAUGAUUGUGAUGUUUAGAAUUGCUGGUGUUAACUAUGGAGCGGUUGGCUCCCUCUUUGUUUUUUUUUAACUUUUUCAAAGGCCUCUCCUUUCUUUUCUUUUUUUCUCUAUUAGUUGUAAAUUGAUAUGGUUAUGUCAUUUAGUUUGCUGUUUUUGCGGGUGAUUAGUUGAUGAUUGAUAGGAUUGAGCUGAGCAUUUCAUUAAUAAAACCGAAUUUUAAUUUUAAAAUAUUAAAAAAAAAAA
Molecule: unclassified non-coding RNA, 374 nt
Filed under: Hevea brasiliensis (rubber tree)
Lineage: Eukaryota; Viridiplantae; Streptophyta; Magnoliopsida; Malpighiales; Euphorbiaceae
Source: RNAcentral